RNAcentral lists this ribosomal RNA (1000 nucleotides) under Bacillus sp. SZ-5. RNAcentral's name for it is "bacterial SSU rRNA". It matches the Rfam family "Bacterial small subunit ribosomal RNA", at positions 37 to 1015 of the family's 1533-position model. Lineage: Bacteria; Bacillati; Bacillota; Bacilli; Caryophanales; Bacillaceae. The record is from RNAcentral.
CCGUGGCGGGUGCUAUACAUGCAAGUCGAGCGGACGGAUGGGAGCUUGCUCCCAGACCGUCAGCGGCGGACGGGUGAGUAACACGUGGGCAACCUGCCUGUAAGACUGGGAUAACUCCGGGAAACCGGGGCUAAUACCGGAUAACUCUUUUCCUCACAUGAGGAAAAGCUGAAAGAUGGCAUCUCGCUAUCACUUACAGAUGGGCCCGCGGCGCAUUAGCUAGUUGGUGAGGUAACGGCUCACCAAGGCGACGAUGCGUAGCCGACCUGAGAGGGUGAUCGGCCACACUGGGACUGAGACACGGCCCAGACUCCUACGGGAGGCAGCAGUAGGGAAUCUUCCGCAAUGGACGAAAGUCUGACGGAGCAACGCCGCGUGAGUGAUGAAGGUUUUCGGAUCGUAAAACUCUGUUGUCAGGGAAGAACAAGUACCGGAGUAACUGCCGGUACCUUGACGGUACCUGACCAGAAAGCCACGGCUAACUACGUGCCAGCAGCCGCGGUAAUACGUAGGUGGCAAGCGUUGUCCGGAAUUAUUGGGCGUAAAGCGCGCGCAGGCGGUUCCUUAAGUCUGAUGUGAAAGCCCCCGGCUCAACCGGGGAGGGUCAUUGGAAACUGGGGAACUUGAGUGCAGAAGAGAAGAGUGGAAUUCCACGUGUAGCGGUGAAAUGCGUAGAGAUGUGGAGGAACACCAGUGGCGAAGGCGACUCUUUGGUCUGUAACUGACGCUGAGGCGCGAAAGCGUGGGGAGCAAACAGGAUUAGAUACCCUGGUAGUCCACGCCGUAAACGAUGAGUGCUAAGUGUUAGAGGGUUUCCGCCCUUUAGUGCUGCAGCAAACGCAUUAAGCACUCCGCCUGGGGAGUACGGCCGCAAGGCUGAAACUCAAAGGAAUUGACGGGGGCCCGCACAAGCGGUGGAAGCAUGUGGUUUAAUUCGAAGCAACGCGAAGAACCUUACCAGGUCUUGACAUCUCCUGACAACCCUAGAAGAUAGGGCGUU